RNAcentral lists this ribosomal RNA (509 nucleotides) under uncultured bacterium. RNAcentral describes it as "bacterial SSU rRNA". It matches the Rfam family "Bacterial small subunit ribosomal RNA", at positions 9 to 509 of the family's 1533-position model. The record is from RNAcentral.
GAGUUUGAUCCUGGCUCAGGAUGAACGCUAGCUACAGGCUUAACACAUGCAAGUCGAGGGGCAGCAUGAACUUAGCUUGCUAAGUUUGAUGGCGACCGGCGCACGGGUGAGUAACGCGUAUCCAACCUUCCCCUUAGUAGGGCAUAGCCCGGCGAAAGUCGGAUUAAUACCCUAUGUUAUCCGAGGAGGACAUCUGAAUUGGAUUAAAGAUUCAUCGCUAAGGGAUGGGGAUGCGUCCGAUUAGGCAGCAGGCGGGUAACGGCCACCUGGCCCUCGAUCGGUAGGGGUUCUGAGAGGAAGGUCCCCCACAUUGGAACUGAGACACGGUCCAAACUCCUACGGGAGGCAGCAGUGAGGAAUAUUGGUCAAUGGACGCAAGUCUGAACCAGCCAAGUAGCGUGCAGGAUGACGGCCCUACGGGUUGUAAACUGCUUUUGCAGGGGAAUAAAGUGAGCCACGCGUGGUUUAUUGCAUGUACCCUGAGAAUAAGGACCGGCUAAUUCCGUGCC